This 528-nucleotide ribosomal RNA is filed under the name uncultured archaeon. Its description in RNAcentral is "bacterial SSU rRNA". It matches the Rfam family "Bacterial small subunit ribosomal RNA", at positions 509 to 1050 of the family's 1533-position model. The record is from RNAcentral.
CAGCCGCCGCGGUAAUACGUAGGGGGCGAGCGUUAUCCGGAUUUAUUGGGCGUAAAGCGUGUGUAGGCGGUUUAUUAAGUUUAAGAUCAAAGCCCGGGGCUCAACUCCGGUUCGUCUUAAAAACUGGUAAACUUGAGUGUAGUAGAGGCAAGUGGAAUUUCUAGUGUAGCGGUUAAAUGCGUAGAUAUUAGAAGGAACACCAGUGGCGAAGGCGACUUGCUGGGCUAUUACUGACGCUGAGGCACGAAAGCGUGGGGAGCAAAUAGGAUUAGAUACCCUAGUAGUCCACGCCGUAAACGAUGAGUACUAAGUGUCGGGAAACCGGUGCUGAAGUUAACACAUUAAGUACUCCGCCUGAGUAGUACGGUCGCAAGGCUGAAACUUAAAGGAAUUGACGGGCACCCGCACAAGCGGUGGAGCAUGCUGUUUAAUUCGAAGCUACGCGAAGAACCUUACCUAGGCUUGACAUCCCCGGCGAAGCUAUAGAAAUAUAGUGGAGGUUACCCGGGUGACAGGAGGUGCAUGGCC